GAACUGAAGAGUUUGAUCAUGGCUCAGAUUGAACGCUGGCGGUAUGCUUAACACAUGCAAGUCGAACGGUAACAGGCAAAGCUUGCUUUGCGCUGACGAGUGGCGGACGGGUGAGUAACGCGUGGGAAUCUGCCUAUUAGUGGGGGACAACCUGGUGAAAACCAGGCUAAUACCGCAUACGCCCUACGGGGGAAAGCAGGGGAUCUUCGGACCUUGCGCUAAUAGAUGAGCCCGCGUUAGAUUAGCUAGUUGGUGAGGUAAUGGCUCACCAAGGCGACGAUCUAUAGCUGGUCUGAGAGGACGAUCAGCCACACUGGGACUGAGACACGGCCCAGACUCCUACGGGAGGCAGCAGUGGGGAAUAUUGGACAAUGGGCGCAAGCCUGAUCCAGCA
This 394-nucleotide ribosomal RNA is filed under the name Gammaproteobacteria bacterium. RNAcentral describes it as "bacterial SSU rRNA". It matches the Rfam family "Bacterial small subunit ribosomal RNA", at positions 1 to 393 of the family's 1533-position model. Lineage: Bacteria; Pseudomonadati; Pseudomonadota; Gammaproteobacteria. The record is from RNAcentral.